AUGGAAGUGAUGAUUAUUUCCCCAGAUGAUCGACGCUGAACAAACUGAGCGUUUUUAUUUCUCUUUGAAUUUAU
Molecule: non-coding RNA, 74 nt
Organism: Ricinus communis (castor bean)
Lineage: Eukaryota; Viridiplantae; Streptophyta; Magnoliopsida; Malpighiales; Euphorbiaceae
Source: Rfam